UGUGUGUGUGUGUGGUAUAAUGGAGUCCAUUAGUGGAAGAGGUGGAGAGAAAUAGUCAUCCUGGGGUCUUUUAGAGCACCUUUCUGGCAACUGGUCCAUAUCGCCACAUUUCUGAAUUAGGGUUGGUAUUAUUUCUGAGCAUAAUAAAAUUUAGAGACAUUAAAUCAUGGACUUGGGGAGUUAGAAAGACUUUGGAGAAAAAAAUUUUUGUUUUUCACGCAGACUUAAUUGGUCCCUUAAAGCACUGGCCCAUUCAUUUAUUGGCAGGGGGAACAGAAUCAAAAUAAAUGAGCUUCAACUGCAGCAAGGAGAGCUUUGGGCAAACCUGAACAAUGUCCCCCCAAGUAAGGUAGGUUCUCUGACAGGAGAAUCAGUUCUCCUGAAUGGUCCUCUUUAGUUCAGCGGUGUAAUGAAUAAGGACUCUUCCUGGAUGCUAGCAACACAAACUUGCUGGAGCUGCUUCAAUCCAAGUGGAGAAUUCACAGGAGCAGAGCUGGGAGCCACUGGCAGCCUGGAAUGAAAGCUCUGGGACUUCUGGGACUCCCCUUUGCUUCCUUGCUGCUUCCCUCUGACUGUCUGCUUAAUUCUCUUCCUUCUUUGUUCUGCUUUUUGUGGGCAGAACUCUGGAUUAAGGGCCUGGCUGCUGGGUAAGCCAGCAGCAAGACUCGUCUUUCUCUUGUUAUGCAAAUGAAAGUUUCCUAGGGAGUGUCCCCCGCUUUGUCCAGCUUGAAGUCACCCAGAGGUGGGCAGAGCGUGGGCACUGCAGUGUGGAGUUUCUUAGGGACAUUUUAGAAAUCUGGGGGGCAGUUUUGGUUACCAGUGAUUGAGGGGUGCUACUCCCAUUUAUUGGAUGGGGACCAGGGAUGCUGAUGUCUCUGAUGGGUAAAGAGUCUUAUUCUCCCACUGUGAGACUGUGACCAAAGCUGUUGCCCCAGAAUCAUACCCCUGUCCUUCCCUUGAAUAGAAACCAAUUCCUCUUAUCUAAGUUUCUGGAGGGGGCUGCAAAGAGAGUGAGAGAGAGCGAGAAAAAAAGAAUUGGUUAGAACCAAUAGGCUCAAGGUGAUGGAGGAUUUGACUUCCAGGAGACCUUAAGUCUCCUGGUGCUCUCAUUGUAAUACUUUAGCAUGCUAAAGGACAGACCCACUGGCGCCAUGACAGUUGACAGUUGCCAUGACAACAACCUCAAAAACCCAUUCUGGGAUGGAAAAGGAGCAUUGCCUCAGUUCCAGGUCCAUACCACACCCCUGUUCUCAGAUAAGUCAUAAGUAUUCCUCCCACUCUUUCCAAAUCUUUCCCUUUUAUCUGGUUCCUCCUAAUAUUUGGUGGCUCUGCCCUAAUUGGGUUGAGAAGUUAAUUUUCAAACUAGGUUCCUGCUUCUUUGUUCUUUGGCCAUUGAAUAAAGUUUGUGCUGUUCUAGUCUCAGCAUUAGUUUUAUUAUUGGCUGUGUGGAUCUAAUCUAAUUGGAAAAAGAACCUCCCCUGGCAGAGAUAAGGGGGCUUGGCCCUGGCUGGUACCCCAGGGCAGGUCCUGUUGACCAAUUCGGGAACAAGACAGUAGUGGAUGGCAGAACCUCUUUAUUACCUGAACGUAGAAUCCUAACUUACACAUAAAGAAUAUUUUGCAGAGUUCCUGUUAUGGCUCAGCAGGUUAAGGACCUGAUGUCAUCUUUGUCAGGAUUUGGGUUCAAUCUCUGGCCUGGCAUACUGGGUUAAGAAUCCGUUGUUUUUGCAAGCUCCAGUGCUGCUGCAAGCUGUGUCUAUGCAGCUUGGAUCGGUGUUGCCGUGGCUAUGUAGGUAGGCAGCUGUGGCUCGGAUUCGACCCAUAGCCUGGGAACUUCCAUAUGCCGCAGGUGUGGCCGUAAAAUGAAAAAAAAAAAUAUUUUGCAUGUUUCCAAUAAACCUUGACUUUUCCAGUCAGUGAAGAAAGAUUGUGCUUGGUUUUAUUGAGAAAGUUACCAAUUUUGGAAAAUUCACCCCCCCACACAUCCACUGCAUUACCACAUCACCUGUGUCAGUUCACAGUUGUAGCUCACCUGUUUUUUGGUUUUAUGUGCAAGUACAGGCAUGUAAUAACACCAUAAGCCUUCUAUAUUGUCUUGACCAACUAACUGAAUUUUGAAAUACAUGUUCAGUUCAUUAUAAAUUAUUUUGCUUUUAUUCUCAUUUAUAUUACUCUUAAGGCAAUAAAUAUAUGUGUUUGAAAUUGUGUUUAGGAAGGUUAGCUAAUAAUUUAUUCCAGGGAGUAAAAUGGUGUUAGAAGUUUGCUCUAAACUUUUGAGCUUUGGAGCUAAUAGGGUUUAGAACUCAACAUCAGGGGAAGUGAUUUACAAAGUAAUCCCCUACCGUCCAUGAAUCUACUGAAUUAAAUAAAUCUUAACACUAACCAUUAAAAACAAACAAACAAACAAACAAAAACUGUAGGAGUUCCCGUUGUGGCACAGAGGAAACGACUCCAACUAGGAACCAUGAGGUUGCGGGUUCGAUCCCUGGCCUCAAUCAGUGGGUUAAGCAUACGGCGUUGCCUUGAGCUGUGGUAUAGGUCACAGAUGCGGCUCAGAUGUGGCGUUGCUGUGGGUGUGGCGUAGGCCAGUGGCAAUAGCCCUGCUUAGACCCCUAGCCUGGGAACCUCCAUAUGCCGCGGGUGCGGCCCUAAAAAAGACAAAAAACAAAAAACUGUAGCCCAUGCAUUGGGUAGAGCUGACUGAGAAAUUAAGUAUAGAGAUGUUGGCCCCAUCCUGCUCCUUCCAUGGGUGUGGAUCCUCCCCCUUCCCUUGUAGGGUGGCUGGUUCUCCUGCUGGGUUCAGGCUCCCCUGUGGGUCUUAUUAUUCUGAAGAGGCCGUAAGAGUAGGGGAUGAUCUCAGAUUAUAGUAUGAGUUUCAGGUGAACUACUGCAGACCACUUUGCAGAAAUCCAAGGAGACCUGUGGGCUUGCAUGGGAAAAUAUGACACCUUGAUUUUCACUAACUUCUCACUAAAAUUGAGUGAUUCCCUAACAUCUGGACCUUGGCCACAAAUCAGAGUAGUAGAGCAUUGUCUGUGACUUUAUCACCAGUGAAAAUCUGAUAGUUUCCUCUAACAUUAUGGAUGGCUGACAGAUAAUCUUGAAAUGACCUACUCAUUUUGACUUAGAAAUGAUGGUGGUGAUUACACGUGCUGCUGGGUAGUGUUAUUUAAUGCAUUAAUAAAUAAGCACAUGUGUUAUUAUGUCACCAUUAAUAAGGUUGGGGUAACCCUAGUGAAAUAUAAUUGACUUUCUCUGUAAUCCUGUGCAUUUUAUUUUUAUGCAUUUAAAACAUUUUGGGAAGGGGUACCACCUCACCCAUCUGCCAAGGGGUGGGUGGUACAGAAAUUGUGGAGUGGAAAUGUGGAGCCUCCUGGACAUCACACACCCCACCACUGCCCUCUCUCUUCCAUUGACCUCCUCCUGACUCAGCCUUUCCUCAAGACUGCCAGGUAUGGGUGUGGAGGGGGUGCGGGCUUAUCUCCAGUUGGCUUAUUUUCUUCUUAGACCUGCUCUAAGAAGAAAUGGCACUUGAUUUGCCCUCGGUUCAUUCCUUUAUCAUGCAAGAGGAGACAAGUUUGUCAGAACACUCCUCUGGCAAGCAUGUAUCGAUCAGUACGUGAUGCAUUAAAAGCCGCACGUGCUGAUUAUCUGAAUCCUUAACAGAAGUGUGUUUUUUCUGGUUUAGUUUUUCAAGUGCAGAAAAAAAAGAAAAACAUAGACAUUUGGCAGGAAAAUUCCCUAUAGACAGCCCAGCUUCUGUUUUCCUCUUCGUUUGCUUCAAAGUGAUAGAAUCACCACACAGCUCUAAGAAGUACCCUAUUGCCCAAGAAACAGGUUGUGGAAAUGGCUGCCGGUGUAUUUUCCUAAUUUGUGGGGGAGGGGAAAUUUCCCAGAAAUUAGGGUUUGGGGUGAAAGUGGACAGGUCCACCAGGGCUUUGUCCUGGUUGUUACCUAGCCACCAGGGAGUCCCAUCCUCGAGGGUGCUGUGCCCCAGAUAUAACUGGGUUCCUGGGGAUGGUGUCAGCCUUUAUCCUGUUUCUGGAGACUUCUGUUGAGAGGAAAUGACUUUGCCACAGAACAGCCUACUGCACUGCUCCUUGCUGUCCUCCAGAUGUGGAGUCAUUGUUUUGUUGCCAUGUGCAUCUUUCCCCCCAGCAACUUCUAAGUCUAUAUUUAGAACAUGCUGAACAGUUGCUUUUGAAAUCUGUAGCAAUUGCGCCGGGGAGGGAUCGUCACACAUCCAACAUGAAUGCGGUGGGCCACCAUAUUGAAUAAUCAUGGGAAUUAUAUUUUUCAUUCUUUGUUUCAGAAGAUACUGUGCUGAAGAUUGGAAUAGGAUAGUUUCAAAUUUUGAGGCUUCAUUUUUCCUGGAUUUAGUUAUUGAUCAAAUUUCUCAUGAAGUCAGAGCCACUCCCUUAAAGAAGUAGGAGCCACUCCAUUCUAAGAUAUGGUUACUGCUCAUGUCUAAAGACUAAAGAGAACAUCUUUGUAUUUAACAAGCCUAUCAGUGAAGCGAUAGCAUCUCUGUCUCUCUGUCUCUUGUCUUUCUUCUUUGUAAAAAGGAACAGCAUAUCCCAUUGCUUCUUGGGCUGAUAACUGCUAGUACAGAUUCAUGUGCAAGAUUUUGGGUACCAUUUGACCUAAUUUUUUAAAUGAGUUGCCUCAGAACCUUGCAUCAAGAAACUGUCCUAUCAUUCGAUGGGCAAGGCCAGUCUUUUAGGUGAGAGAAAGUAAGAAAUCCACCAGAUUUAUUGGCCAAGGGGUGGGGCUUUCACUCCCUUUGAAGGAUCUCUUACCCCUCCCACCUCCCUGAUGGGCACCACAUUCACUUGGCCUACUUUUCAUAGAGGUUUGAUUUGGGGUGAAUUUUGAUCUUCAUCUUACCUUUAUGGAGAGAGUAAAUAAAGUCCAGAAGAUCUAGAGUAUAGGAGCUUAAAUAUCCAUAAGUGAUUUGUCUCCUGGUCAGGGAUGGCAGAAUUAAUUGUACGCUGCUGGACAUGGAUCUCAUUACCAUUUUAUAGAUUUUAUCACCAUGAAAAAUGGAAACUACAGAUCCUGUCUUCAAACCGACAGUCUAAAGGUGAAGACUUCACAUACAGAGCAAUGCUUUUUCCAGAAAGUGGACCUCUUGAGCAUAGCUGGUGUUCAGAGGAAUACUGGGCACUCCUGAGAACCAAGCCUUGAGCACCACUGUCUAAUUUCAUGCUUAUGACAACCCUGUAAAUUAGAACCCCUUACUUUCAUUGGACAGAUGUGAAACCAGUGUAUGGGGAAGCUAAGUGUCUUGCCUGCAAUGACACACAUAACCAUAAGGUGAUCAUAUAAUUUAUUAGCCAGACCUGAACACUUUUGAGACUGAAAGGAGGUGUAUUAAAUUGAUGAUAAAACUGGGAUAACAGCCAUAAAUGGGGAUGUAGUGUGCCCCUACUAAUCGGUGCAGAUUGAGGUUUUAAUUCUGGUCUCUGAUUCCUGAGCCUUCCUGCUCUCCAUUAGAUGCAUUAAAUUGGGCUGCCAUACCUACAGAUGAAUUGUUAAGGCACAUAUUGAAUAGACUUCUGCAGGUGAGUUCUGCAUUAGGUAGGGCACUGAAGAGAAAUUCCUCUUAGGCUAGGUAAAAGUUCCCCUUGGCAAGAAAAAGUUCUUUCGUAUAAAAAUGUAGAAAGGAUUUUGCUAAGGCAGAUGGUUUUUCUCUUUUUAAAAAAUGGCUUUUCAUCUUUUUUUUUUGCUUGUUUUAAAGAAUGAGUCUGCUGUAGCAGUUCCAAGAAAGGCAAAAGAAGACUCAUAAGCUCUCAUAUCCAGGGCAAACAUCUUCAUAGCCAGUGGCUAUUGCCAUACAGAGUAAUAUGAUGAAUUCUUCAAUAGUAAGGUGUGUAGAUGAAAUUUACUACACCUAUUGUUAGCACUUUGUCCAAGACUUAUUAUCAAGGCAGAUUUUCAUGGCAUAAUCAUUACUGUGAAAUGUUAAGAUAAAACCCCAGCACUUGAGGAGUUCCCUUUGCGGCUUAGCACAUUAAGAACCCAACAUAGCGACUGUGAGGAUGCGGGUUCCAUCCCUGGCCUCAUUCAGUGGGUUAAGGAUCCAGCAUUGCUACAAGCUGUAGCAUGGGUCACAGAUACAGCUCCAGUCCUUUGUUGCUAUGGCUGUGGUGUAGGUCACAGACUCAACUCAGAUCCUGCAUUGCUGUGGCUGUUGUGUAGGCUGGCAGCUGUGGCUCAGAUUCAACCCCUAGCCUGGGAACUUCCAUGUGCUGCAGGUGUAGCCCUAAAAAGAAAAGGAAAAAAAAAAAAAA
This 6293-nucleotide long non-coding RNA is filed under the name Sus scrofa (pig). RNAcentral's name for it is "lncRNA (ENSSSCG00060066269.1)". The record is from RNAcentral. Lineage: Eukaryota; Metazoa; Chordata; Mammalia; Artiodactyla; Suidae.